RNAcentral lists this ribosomal RNA (535 nucleotides) under Micromonospora sp. 191. RNAcentral describes it as "bacterial SSU rRNA". It matches the Rfam family "Bacterial small subunit ribosomal RNA", at positions 202 to 752 of the family's 1533-position model. Lineage: Bacteria; Bacillati; Actinomycetota; Actinomycetes; Micromonosporales; Micromonosporaceae. The record is from RNAcentral.
GGAAAGUUUUUCGGCCUGGGAUGGGCUCGCGGCCUAUCAGCUUGUUGGUGGGGUGAUGGCCUACCAAGGCGACGACGGGUAGCCGGCCUGAGAGGGCGACCGGCCACACUGGGACUGAGACACGGCCCAGACUCCUACGGGAGGCAGCAGUGGGGAAUAUUGCACAAUGGGCGGAAGCCUGAUGCAGCGACGCCGCGUGAGGGAUGACGGCCUUCGGGUUGUAAACCUCUUUCAGCAGGGACGAAGCGCAAGUGACGGUACCUGCAGAAGAAGCGCCGGCCAACUACGUGCCAGCAGCCGCGGUAAGACGUAGGGCGCGAGCGUUGUCCGGAUUUAUUGGGCGUAAAGAGCUCGUAGGCGGCUUGUCGCGUCGACCGUGAAAACUUGGGGCUCAACCCCAAGCCUGCGGUCGAUACGGGCAGGCUAGAGUUCGGUAGGGGAGACUGGAAUUCCUGGUGUAGCGGUGAAAUGCGCAGAUAUCAGGAGGAACACCGGUGGCGAAGGCGGGUCUCUGGGCCGAUACUGACGCUGAGGA